Molecule: transfer RNA, 34 nt
Filed under: Emydura macquarii emmotti
Lineage: Eukaryota; Metazoa; Chordata; Testudines; Chelidae
Description: partial tRNA-Leu
Source: RNAcentral
ACUUUUAAAGGAUAAAAGUAAUCCAAUGGUUUUA